RNAcentral lists this ribosomal RNA (465 nucleotides) under Vreelandella stevensii. Its description in RNAcentral is "partial 16S ribosomal RNA". It matches the Rfam family "Bacterial small subunit ribosomal RNA", at positions 338 to 795 of the family's 1533-position model. Lineage: Bacteria; Pseudomonadati; Pseudomonadota; Gammaproteobacteria; Oceanospirillales; Halomonadaceae. The record is from RNAcentral.
CCUACGGGCGGCAGCAGUGGGGAAUAUUGGACAAUGGGGGGAACCCUGAUCCAGCCAUGCCGCGUGUGUGAAGAAGGCCCUCGGGUUGUAAAGCACUUUCAGUGAGGAAGAACGCCUGGUGGUUAAUACCCAUCAGGAAAGACAUCACUCACAGAAGAAGCACCGGCUAACUCCGUGCCAGCAGCCGCGGUAAUACGGAGGGUGCGAGCGUUAAUCGGAAUUACUGGGCGUAAAGCGCGCGUAGGUGGCUUGAUAAGCCGGUUGUGAAAGCCCCGGGCUCAACCUGGGAACGGCAUCCGGAACUGUCAAGCUAGUGUGCAGGAGAGGAAGGUAGAAUUCCCGGUGUAGCGGUGAAAUGCGUAGAGAUCGGGAGGAAUACCAGUGGCGAAGGCGGCCUUCUGGACUGACACUGACACUGAGGUGCGAAAGCGUGGGUAGCAAACAGGAUUAGAUACCCCAGUAGUC